CCUACGGGCGGCUGCAGUGAGGAAUAUUGGUCAAUGGGCGCGAGCCUGAACCAGCCAAGUCGCGUGAGGGAGGACGGCCCUACGGGUUGUAAACCUCUUUUGCCGGGGAGCAACGGGCGCCACGUGUGGCGUCCCUGAGAGUACCCGGAGAAAAAGCAUCGGCUAACUCCGUGCCAGCAGCCGCGGUAAUACGGAGGAUGCGAGCGUUAUCCGGAUUUAUUGGGUUUAAAGGGUGCGUAGGCGGAUCGUUAAGUCAAGGGUGAAAUCCCCGCGCUCAACGUGGGAACUGCCUUUGAAACUGGCAAACUGGAGUGUGUGAGAGGAUAGUGGAAUUCCAGGUGUAGGAGUGAAAUCCGUAGAUAUCUGGAGGAACAUCAGUGGCGAAGGCGACUAUCUGGCACAUAACUGACGCUGAGGAGCGAAAGCGUGGGUAGCAAACAGGAUUAGAUACCCCAGUAGUC
This 461-nucleotide ribosomal RNA is filed under the name uncultured bacterium. RNAcentral describes it as "partial 16S ribosomal RNA". It matches the Rfam family "Bacterial small subunit ribosomal RNA", at positions 338 to 795 of the family's 1533-position model. The record is from RNAcentral.